UGGGGAAUUUUGGACAAUGGGGGAAACCCUGAUCCAGCCAUCCCGCGUGUGCGAUGAAGGCCUUCGGGUUGUAAAGCACUUUUGGUAGGAAAGAAACGUCAUGGGUUAAUACCCCGUGAAACUGACGGUACCUGCAGAAUAAGCACCGGCUAACUACGUGCCAGCAGCCGCGGUAAUACGUAGGGUGCAAGCGUUAAUCGGAAUUACUGGGCGUAAAGCGUGCGCAGGCGGUUCGGAAAGAAAGAUGUGAAAUCCCAGAGCUCAACUUUGGAACUGCAUUUUUAACUACCGGGCUAGAGUGCGUCAGAGGGAGGUGGAAUUCCGCGUGUAGCAGUGAAAUGCGUAGAUAUGCGGAGGAACACCGAUGGCGAAGGCAGCCUCCUGGGAUAACACUGACGCUCAUGCACGAAAGCGUGGGGAGCAAACAGG
Molecule: ribosomal RNA, 429 nt
Filed under: Acidobacteriota bacterium
Lineage: Bacteria; Pseudomonadati; Acidobacteriota
Description: Acidobacteria bacterium partial 16S ribosomal RNA
Rfam family: Bacterial small subunit ribosomal RNA
Source: RNAcentral